This 552-nucleotide ribosomal RNA is filed under the name uncultured fungus. RNAcentral describes it as "eukaryotic LSU rRNA". The stretch from base 283 to 552 matches the Rfam family "Eukaryotic large subunit ribosomal RNA", at positions 1 to 266 of the family's 3401-position model. Lineage: Eukaryota; Fungi. The record is from RNAcentral.
CGAAAUGCGAUAAGUAGUGUGAAUUGCAGAAUUCCGUGAAUCAUCGAAUCUUUGAACGCAUAUUGCGCCUCCUGGCAUUCCGGGAGGCAUGCCUGUUCGAGCGUCACUGAAAAAGCAACUCGUGCAAGCCCAACCUUGCAUGGUCAUGGAGGAAGAGGGUUCCGCCUUGUUUUGCCAUCCUCCCCUCCCAAAAUCAAGGGCGUAAAGUCACUGGUGUAGUACCAUCGUUCGUCGAUCAUCCAGUGUCGUUUGCCGCCGUCAAACCCCCACAAUUCUCUUGAUUGACCUCGGAUCAGGUAGGGAUACCCGCUGAACUUAAGCAUAUCAAUAAGCGGAGGACAAGAAACCAACAGGGAUUGCCUUAGUAACUGCGAGUGAAGCGGCAUGAGCUCAAAUUUGAAAUCGGUGCCUACCAAUCGCAUCGAGUUGUAAUUUGGAGGGACGACUUCUGGCCGAACCGCAUCGUAAGUUCCUUGGAACAGGACGUCACAGAGGGUGAGAAUCCCGUGUCUUGAUGUCGGGUCGAACCGUGUGAAGCGUCUCCGACGAGUC